RNAcentral lists this ribosomal RNA (262 nucleotides) under Morone saxatilis (striped sea-bass). RNAcentral describes it as "partial 12S ribosomal RNA". The record is from RNAcentral. Lineage: Eukaryota; Metazoa; Chordata; Actinopteri; Moronidae.
GCCCAUGACACCUUGCUUUAGCCACACCCCCACGGGGAAUUCCAGCAGUGAUAAACAUUAAGCCAUAAGUGAAAGCUUGACUUAAUUAAAGUUAAAUAGGGCCGGUAAAUCUCGUGCCAGCCACCGCGGUUAAACGGGAGGCUCAAGUUGAUAGACAUCGGCGUAAAGCGUGGUUAAGGGCCCAACUUUUAUACUAAAGCCGAACGCUCUUAGAGCAGUUAUACGUACUGAGAGUAAGAAGAUCAAUUACGAAAGUAGCUUU